UUCAUGCUUCGGGCGGGGAAAAAAGACAGAGAAUUGGGGUUUUUUUUUUCAUAGGAUUUUGGGAAGAGUGAGGCAAUCGUUAGUGAAGUCAGUGUUGUAUUAGUGAAUCUGGAUUAUAAUGAAGUAGGUGUGAUUACUCUUGACUGUUUUGUGAAAUCGAAGUUACGUCUGUGAUUGAAGAAUUAAAAGGGUGUCUAUAGGAUUGAGUAUGCGGAGUGAAUGAAAUUUAUUGAGUU
Molecule: long non-coding RNA, 236 nt
Filed under: Physcomitrium patens
Lineage: Eukaryota; Viridiplantae; Streptophyta; Bryopsida; Funariales; Funariaceae
Description: long non-coding RNA (PPAT_LNC002607)
Source: RNAcentral